AUUUAAAAAGACGAGUCCCAAAUAGGACGAAACGCGCGUCCUGGAU
This 46-nucleotide non-coding RNA is filed under the name Schistosoma mansoni. Lineage: Eukaryota; Metazoa; Platyhelminthes; Trematoda; Strigeidida; Schistosomatidae. The record is from RNAcentral.